This 66-nucleotide transfer RNA is filed under the name Acraea epaea. Its description in RNAcentral is "tRNA-Pro". The record is from RNAcentral. Lineage: Eukaryota; Metazoa; Arthropoda; Insecta; Lepidoptera; Nymphalidae.
CAAAAAAUAGUUUAAUAAAAAUAGUAAUUUUGGAGAUUACUGAUAAUAUAACAAUAUUUUUUUUGA